AGUGAACGCUGGCGGUAGGCCUAACACAUGCAAGUCGAACGGCAGCACAGUAAGAGCUUGCUCUUACGGGUGGCGAGUGGCGGACGGGUGAGGAAUACAUCGGAAUCUACUUUUUCGUGGGGGAUAACGUAGGGAAACUUACGCUAAUACCGCAUACGACCUACGGGUGAAAGCAGGGGAUCUUCGGACCUUGCGCGAUUGAAUGAGCCGAGGUCGGAUUAGCUAGUUGGCAGGGUAAAGGCCCACCAAGGCGACGAUCCGUAGCUGGUCUGAGAGGAUGAUCAGCCACACUGGAACUGAGACACGGUCCAGACUCCUACGGGAGGCAGCAGUGGGGAAUAUUGGACAAUGGGCGCAAGCCUGAUGCAGCAAUGCCGCGUGGGUGAAGAAGGCCUUCGGGUUGUAAAGCCCUGUUGUUGGGGAAGAAAAGCAGCGGGAUAAUACGCGGCUGUUUUGACGGUACCCAAAGAGUAAGCACCGGCUAACUUCGUG
This 492-nucleotide ribosomal RNA is filed under the name uncultured bacterium. RNAcentral describes it as "partial 16S ribosomal RNA". It matches the Rfam family "Bacterial small subunit ribosomal RNA", at positions 29 to 507 of the family's 1533-position model. The record is from RNAcentral.